Non-coding RNA from Coturnix japonica (Japanese quail), 1772 nucleotides. The record is from RefSeq and is a predicted model, not a curated record. NCBI's taxonomy places the organism in Eukaryota, Metazoa, Chordata, Aves, Galliformes, Phasianidae.
GUAGAGCCUGGCUGCACCACUCUUAGACCUCAUUUAAGGGCUGACUGCCACUCUGGAAGGUUCUCUGGUUGGUGAUCGCUUUUGUGUGGAGUUUCCCUCGUGAGCCUACAUCUUCAGGAGCAGCUCUCAGUCCUGAUUCAGUCCCUGAUUCCCUUCAGCAUGCAAGCUGUGCUUAGUUCCAAAAUGUGAGUGGCUCAUGGGCUGCCAUUUACCUGCUGGCCAUCGAGUCUCAUCAGGAGCUGUUUUUCACUCAAAGGGAGCAAAUAACAUCAGAUCUGCUGUUUCAUCUUCUUUCCAUCAUGAGGAAUGGAUAGCCUUUGGCAGAGAGUCCUCCAGGACUCUACAGGAGGAUUUCUAGCACAGCCCCUGGAACAGGAUCCUUCAGUGUUGCCCUUGUUGUGGAUGUUCUGGGGAAGAGUAAAUAGAGACAUUUUUUUUCCCUGUCAUGGGAGCUUGCUGAUGUCUUUCUGCUGGAAGAAUGUUGAUGCUGUUUGGUAGAUCUCCUUGAAAAUGCUGGACCGAACACCCUGAGCACCUGGACCAAUUUUAGAAUGCAGUCUGGACUUCUGUGAUAUUCUAUCAAGGUGUUUGAUGAAAAGAAAAAUACUGUAGGAAUGGAAGAGGAGCAGACAGCAAGAGCUCACCUUCAAGCCAGGAAUCCACUCGGCACUGGAAUGGAAUGGAAUCAGAGGACAUGAGAGGACACUGAAGAAUAUGGGAAUGCUAGGAAGAGGGAAAAAUUGCAACUGGCAUUGCUCAGCUGGAGUAGCUACCAUCUGCUUGAAGCUACAUUCAUUCUUUUGAAGCUACGUUAGGUCUCUGCAUGCAACGUCAGUAAAGGCAGCACAACCUAGUCAGUUAAAUCCUUCCUUGGAUUAGGUUUCUAUACAUUUUCCUUGGUGAUAUUGAAAAAAUCCUAAGAGAAAGCUGACAGACCUAUUAUUGCACUGGCACAAGGCAUGGUUAUAAUAUUUCAGUGCUUCCAAAGUCAGCCUCAUCUCUGAAAAUGAGUUACUGCAUAUGUUCGUGACUAAAGAGCACCUCUGUAAGCACCCAAAGUCCUGUGCAAGAUGCAUAGAAUAAAAAAGUCACGAUAAGCCUCCCUUUUCAGUCAGGGAGACUUAGUUCUGUUGGGAACCAGAACUCUACAACCUGUACAGAAAGCUACUGAAGUUAUUUUAAAAAUGGUACAGUUACUAAGGCAGGCUUUGAGACUGCCUGUGUCAAGUACAUAAGGUACUCGGGGUAAAUUUGGUUCUGAUAUAUUAUGAUACAUUUUGCUUUUUGUCUGUUUUCCUUAUGCUCUUUAAAGUGAAGCUGUUUCUGAGGUCAUCAAAAUUGGACAGCAGGAUUUCCCAAUAAAAUAUCUGUUUUAUAAGCAUCAUAUGUGUCAGUGUCCUUGUGUCCGUUCACAGAUGCAUUUUACACCUUGUAUUUUCCUGUUUAAAAAUAGGUAAGUGCAAGCCAUCAGUGGUGCACAAGGAAGCUCUGCUAUGCAGCCAACCAGCUAGCUUGGUGCAGCAUAAGGUGUGGGAAAGAAGUGAAUGUGGCUUGUAGCGACUGAUUGAAGGGGGCAAGGAAGGAGCAUGGCAAACAAUGAAUGCAUGCUGUGUGGAGUGUGCUUAGUCCUGAGAAGUAAGAGAGUGAAAUGCUGCUGAAAUAUUGAUAGGGAGGAUAGACUCUGGAAUGAUUGACGACAUGUGUGUGUGUCUUGGCAAGUUUAAUUGGAUUUGUUGGGGUAGAAGGUGGAAGAAUGUGGUGCAUUUCCUUUU